RNAcentral lists this ribosomal RNA (253 nucleotides) under uncultured bacterium. RNAcentral's name for it is "partial 16S ribosomal RNA". It matches the Rfam family "Bacterial small subunit ribosomal RNA", at positions 524 to 776 of the family's 1533-position model. The record is from RNAcentral.
UACGAAGGGGGCUAGCGUUGCUCGGAAUCACUGGGCGUAAAGGGCGCGUAGGCGGACUUUUAAGUCGGGGGUGAAAGCCCAGGGCUCAACCCUGGAAUUGCCUUCGAUACUGGGAGUCUUGAGUUCGGAAGAGGUUGGUGGAACUGCGAGUGUAGAGGUGAAAUUCGUAGAUAUUCGCAAGAACACCAGUGACGAAGGCGGCCAACUGGUCCGAAACUGACGCUGAGGCGCGAAAGCGUGGGGAGCAAACAGG